Molecule: unclassified non-coding RNA, 316 nt
Filed under: plant metagenome
Description: partial contains 5.8S ribosomal RNA, internal transcribed spacer 2, and large subunit ribosomal RNA
Rfam family: 5.8S ribosomal RNA (bases 1-105)
Source: RNAcentral
GAAAUGCGAUAAGUAGUGUGAAUUGCAGAAUUCAGUGAAUCAUCGAGUCUUUGAACGCACAUUGCGCCCCCUGGCAUUCCGGGGGGCAUGCCUGUCCGAGCGUCAUUGCUGCCCUUCAAGCCCGGCUUGUGUGUUGGGUCGUCGUCCCCCCCGGGGGACGGACCCGAAAGGCAGCGGCGGCACCGUGUCCGGUCCUCGAGCGUAUGGGGCUUUGUCACCCGCUCGAUUAGGACCGGCCGGGCGCCCGCCGGCGUCAAACCCCCAAUCUUUCUAAGGUUGACCUCGGAUCAGGUAGGGAUACCCGCUGAACUUAAGC